Molecule: ribosomal RNA, 253 nt
Filed under: uncultured bacterium
Lineage: Bacteria
Description: partial 16S ribosomal RNA
Rfam family: Bacterial small subunit ribosomal RNA
Source: RNAcentral
UACAGAGGUCCCGAGCGUUGUUCGGAUUCAUUGGGCGUAAAGGGUGCGUAGGUGGCGCCGUAAGUCGGGUGUGAAAUCUCGGGGCUUAACUCCGAAACUGCAUUCGAUACUGCCGUGCUUGAGGACUGGAGAGGAGACUGGAAUUUACGGUGUAGCGGUGAAAUGCGUAGAUAUCGUAAGGAAGACCAGUGGCGAAGGCGGGUCUCUGGACAGUUCCUGACGCUGAGGCACGAAGGCCAGGGGAGCAAACGGG